RNAcentral lists this ribosomal RNA (262 nucleotides) under uncultured bacterium. RNAcentral's name for it is "partial 16S ribosomal RNA". It matches the Rfam family "Bacterial small subunit ribosomal RNA", at positions 92 to 354 of the family's 1533-position model. The record is from RNAcentral.
UUAGCGGCGGACGGGUGAGUAACGCGUGGGUAACCUGCCUUAUACAGGGGGAUAACAGUUAGAAAUGACUGCUAAUACCGCAUAAGCGCACGGGAACGCAUGUUUCUGUGUGAAAAACUGAGGUAGUAUAAGAUGGACCCGCGUCUGAUUAGCUAGUUGGUGGGGUAACGGCCUACCAAGGCGACGAUCAGUAGCCGGCCUGAGAGGGUGACCGGCCACAUUGGGACUGAGACACGGCCCAAACUCCUACGGAAGGCAGCAG